Molecule: transfer RNA, 76 nt
Rfam family: tRNA
About the family: Transfer RNA (tRNA) molecules are approximately 80 nucleotides in length. Their secondary structure includes four short double-helical elements and three loops (D, anti-codon, and T loops).
GGGCUGGUAGCUCAACUGGUAGAGCGCUUGCGUGGCACGCAAGAGGCAGCGGGUUCGACCCCCGUCCGGUCCACAA